Molecule: long non-coding RNA, 2196 nt
Filed under: Chlamydomonas reinhardtii
Lineage: Eukaryota; Viridiplantae; Chlorophyta; Chlorophyceae; Chlamydomonadales; Chlamydomonadaceae
Description: long non-coding RNA (CREI_LNC000042)
Source: RNAcentral
UCCGAAGCAGCCGGGGCCGCUGCAAGUGCCGUCGCCGCUGCGCUCGCCUUCUUCGGCGCGUGCAAGCCCUCCAGCACCACCUUCACCUUGCCGUACACAUCGUCCGGAGCCGCCACAGCGCUGAUCACGUGGCACUUGCCCUGCGUAAGGUAGUGGUCCUUCACGGGCAGCGACUGAUCCAGGAAGGUGUGGAAGCGCUUGCGAAUGGUGUCGGCGUUGUCGUCGCUGCGGCCGCUGGUCUCCCCGCGCUUCAGCAGGCGCUUCUCCAUCUCCUCCUCCGGGCAGUCAAAGAACAGCACCGUCUUGCACGGCAUGAUGCUGCUCUCAAACUGCUCCGCCUGGUCCAGCGCGCGUGGAAAGCCGUCGAUGAGGAAGAACUUGCCGCCGCUGGCUAUCAUGUCCCGCUUCAGCAGGUUGAGCGUGACAGCCACCGGCACGAGCUUGCCCUCCUUCAUCAGCGCCUCGCACUUCUGGCCAACCUCGCUGCCGCUCUUCACCUCAGCGCGCAGCAGGUCGCCGGCGCUGAGGUGCACGCACUCAUACUCCUCCUUGAUCUGAUCGCAUUGCGUGCCCUUGCCGCUGCCGGGGCCGCCGAGCACGAACACGAUCUGGGCGUCGGCAGGCAGGCUGCCGGGCACGGGCGGCAGCGCAAACUCCUGCAUAGGGACGAAAAUGCAAUGGAAAUCAGCAAGCCGAGAUUAAUAAUCAGUGGAAACUUACGCAUCAGUACACUUGCACUUCAGUACGCAUCCUACUACCGGGAGGAUACGGUAAGGCAGGCAGGCAGAGGCCAUCGAUUUCACGCUUGCCCCAGCUUUCCGUACGAUGUACCGUAUGCUAGGUUGCUUGACCGGAACCCGUGCAAGACGCACACGGAUAUACCACCGGUGAACAGCCAUGACCGCUCACCUCCAAAGCAGCCGCAGCAGGAGUAGCCGAAACUGUCGCAGUCACGCCCGCCUUCUUCGGCGCGUGCAAGCCCUCCAGCACCACCUUCACCUUGCCGUACACAUCGUCCGGAGCCGCCACAGCGCUGAUCACGUGGCACUUGCCCUGCGUAAGGUAGUGGUCCUUCACAGGCAGCGACUGAUCCAGGAAGGUGCGGAAGCGCUUGCGAAUGGUGUCGGCGUUGUCGUCGCUGCGGCCGCUGGUCUCCCCGCGCUUCAGCAGGCGCUUCUCCAUCUCCUCCUCCGGGCAGUCGAAGAACAGCACCGUCUUGCACGGCAUGAUGCUGCUCUCAAACUGCGCCGCCUGGUCCAGCGCGCGCGGAAAGCCGUCGAUGAGGAAGAACUUGCCGCCGCUGGCUAUCAUGUCCCGCUUCAGCAGGUUAAGCGUGACAGCCACCGGCACGAGCUUGCCCUCCUUCAUCAGCGCCUCGCACUUCUGGCCGACCUCGCUGCCGCUCUUCACCUCAGCGCGCAGCAGGUCGCCGGCGCUGAGGUGCACGCACUCGUAGUCGGCCUUAAUCUUGUCGCAUUGCGUCCCCUUGCCGCUGCCGGGGCCGCCGAGCACGAACACGAUCUGGGCGUCGGCAGGCAGGUUGCCGGGCACAGGUGGCAGCGCGAUGUCCUGCAUAAAAGCAACCAAGGGAACAAACGUGCAAUCAUAAGGUGUUGGCUGUGGCGCCGACCAUGACCCAGUGCCCUUGUACACAAAGCAAUGGGGCGUGCCGUACGCGCCGCACACACAGAACAGCGGUUUGGUGGCUGGAAACAUAAGAUGCGGCACGGUAUCCCUAUCUGCAGGUCGGCUUCUCAAGUGUUCAACUUAGGCAAGACGCACCUCCGAAGCAGCCGGGGCCGCUGCAAGUGCCGUCGCCGCUGCGCUCGCCUUCUUCGGCGCGUGCAAGCCCUCCAGCACCACCUUCACCUUGCCGUACACAUCGUCCGGAGCCGCCACAGCGCUGAUCACGUGGCACUUGCCCUGCGUAAGGUAGUGGUCCUUCACGGGCAGCGACUGAUCCAGGAAGGUGUGGAAGCGCUUGCGAAUGGUGUCGGCGUUGUCGUCGCUGCGGCCGCUGGUCUCCCCGCGCUUCAGCAGGCGCUUCUCCAUCUCCUCCUCCGGGCAGUCAAAGAACAGCACCGUCUUGCACGGCAUGAUGCUGUUCUCAAACUGCGCCGCCUGGUCCAGCGCGCGCGGAAAGCCGUCGAUGAGGAAGAACUUGCCGCCGCUGGCUAUCAUGUCCCGCUUCAGCAG